This 118-nucleotide ribosomal RNA is filed under the name Diaphorina citri (Asian citrus psyllid). The record is from RNAcentral. Lineage: Eukaryota; Metazoa; Arthropoda; Insecta; Hemiptera; Psyllidae.
AGUAGUGGCGAUAGCACGUUGAAUACACAACUUCCCGAUGGUUCACUGAAGUUAAGCUACAUUGACAGUGGUUGGUAUAUGUAUGGGUGACCAUCUGGGCAAUCACGAGCUGUUACUG